CCUGCCGCGCCCCAACGGCUGCCGCGCACCGCGCAUGCGUGGGGCUGCCCGCCCCCCCCCGCUGGGGCACCAUGGGAGCGCCCGGGGCAUCAUGGGAGCAUCCAGAGCAUCAUGGGAGCGCCCGGGGCAUCAUGGGAGUGCCUGGAGCAUCAUGGGAGUACCCAGGGCAUCAUGGGAGUGACAUGGGGCCUCAUGGGAGCACCCAGGGCAUCAUGGGAGUGAGGUGGGGCAUCAUGGGAUGCUCCCACUUGGCAUGCCCCACCCUGGGGCUGAUGGGAGCUGCUGCCCCAGAGGCUCAUGGGAGCCGCUGCCCCGCAGGUGAUGCCGCGCGGAUGGAGGCCCCCUGCGGGGACCAGGCUGAGCCGAUGACCCCCGACCCCAGGGCGCCCGGACGCCUGGACCCCCCCGCGGCCACGCCCCCAGGGGAGCCGGCCCCCAAGCAGGCCGUGUCGGAGGCGCUGGCGGCCGCCCGGCUCCGGGCCCUCGGCCUCCACCA
This 496-nucleotide long non-coding RNA is filed under the name Apteryx owenii (little spotted kiwi). Its description in RNAcentral is "lncRNA (ENSAOWG00000010768.1)". Lineage: Eukaryota; Metazoa; Chordata; Aves; Apterygiformes; Apterygidae. The record is from RNAcentral.